CUACGCACUCCUACGGGAGGCAGCAGUGGGGAAUAUUGCACAAUGGGCGCAAGCCUGAUGCAGCCAUGCCGCGUGUAUGAAGAAGGCCUUCGGGUUGUAAAGUACUUUCAGCAGUGAGGAAGGUGGGUAUGUUAAUAGCAUACUCAUUUGACGUUAGCUGCAGAAGAAGCACCGGCUAACUCCGUGCCAGCAGCCGCGGUAAUACGGAGGGUGCGAGCGUUAAUCGGAAUUACUGGGCGUAAAGCGCAUGCAGGUGGUUUGUUAAGUCAGAUGUGAAAGCCCGGGGCUCAACCUCGGAAUUGCAUUUGAAACUGGCAAACUAGAGUACUGUAGAGGGGGGUAGAAUUUCAGGUGUAGCGGUGAAAUGCGUAGAGAUCUGAAGGAAUACCGGUGGCGAAGGCGGCCCCCUGGACAGAUACUGACACUCAGAUGCGAAAGCGUGGGGAGCAAACAGGAUUAGAUACCCUGGUAG
RNAcentral lists this ribosomal RNA (472 nucleotides) under uncultured bacterium. RNAcentral describes it as "bacterial SSU rRNA". It matches the Rfam family "Bacterial small subunit ribosomal RNA", at positions 329 to 793 of the family's 1533-position model. The record is from RNAcentral.